CAUUGGGCGGGGUGCUAUACAUGCAAGUCGAGCGGACAGAUGGGAGCUUGCUCCCUGAUGUCAGCGGCGGACGGGUGAGUAACACGUGGGUAACCUGCCUGUAAGACUGGGAUAACUCCGGGAAACCGGGGCUAAUACCGGAUGCUUGAUUGAACCGCAUGGUUCAAUUAUAAAAGGUGGCUUUUAGCUACCACUUACAGAUGGACCCGCGGCGCAUUAGCUAGUUGGUGAGGUAACGGCUCACCAAGGCGACGAUGCGUAGCCGACCUGAGAGGGUGAUCGGCCACACUGGGACUGAGACACGGCCCAGACUCCUACGGGAGGCAGCAGUAGGGAAUCUUCCGCAAUGGACGAAAGUCUGACGGAGCAACGCCGCGUGAGUGAUGAAGGUUUUCGGAUCGUAAAACUCUGUUGUUAGGGAAGAACAAGUACCGUUCGAAUAGGGCGGUACCUUGACGGUACCUAACCAGAAAGCCACGGCUAACUACGUGCCAGCAGCCGCGGUAAUACGUAGGUGGCAAGCGUUGUCCGGAAUUAUUGGGCGUAAAGCGCGCGCAGGCGGUUUCUUAAGUCUGAUGUGAAAGCCCCCGGCUCAACCGGGGAGGGUCAUUGGAAACUGGGGAACUUGAGUGCAGAAGAGGAGAGUGGAAUUCCACGUGUAGCGGUGAAAUGCGUAGAGAUGUGGAGGAACACCAGUGGCGAAGGCGACUCUCUGGUCUGUAACUGACGCUGAGGCGCGAAAGCGUGGGGAGCGAACAGGAUUAGAUACCCUGGUAGUCCACGCCGUAAACGAUGAGUGCUAAGUGUUAGAGGGUUUCCGCCCUUUAGUGCUGCAGCAAACGCAUUAAGCACUCCGCCUGGGGAGUACGGUCGCAAGACUGAAACUCAAAGGAAUUGACGGGGGCCCGCACAAGCGGUGGAGCAUGUGGUUUAAUUCGAAGCAACGCGAAGAACCUUACCAGGUCUUGACAUCCUCUGACAACCCUAGAGAUAGGGCUUCCCCUUCGGGGGCAGAGUGACAGGUGGUGCAUGGUUGUCGUCAGCUCCUGUCCUGAAAUGUUGGGUUAAGUCCCGCAACGAGCGCAACCCUUGAUCUUAGUUGCCAGCAUUCAGUUGGGCACUCUAAGGGGACUGCCGGUGACAAACCGGAAGAAAGGUGGGGAAGAAGUCCAAACAUCCAGGCCCCUUAUAGACGGGGGUAAAAACCUGGUUACAAUGGGGGGAAAAAAAAGGGGGGCGGAAACCCCGCGGGGUUAGCCAAUUCCCCAAAAUUUGUCUCUUGG
This 1283-nucleotide ribosomal RNA is filed under the name Bacillus licheniformis. Its description in RNAcentral is "bacterial SSU rRNA". It matches the Rfam family "Bacterial small subunit ribosomal RNA", at positions 34 to 1291 of the family's 1533-position model. Lineage: Bacteria; Bacillati; Bacillota; Bacilli; Caryophanales; Bacillaceae. The record is from RNAcentral.